CCACACUCCAUCAUCAACCCCACGCCCCGUCAUCAACCCCACACUCCGUCACCUGUCAUCAUCACCACACUCCAUCAUCAUCCCCACACUUCAUUACCCAUCAUCAUCCCCACACUCCAUCACCCGUCAUCAUCCCCACACUCCAUCACCCAUCAUCAACCCCACACUCCAUCACCCAUCAUCAACCCCACACUCCAUCAUCAUCCCCACACUCCAUCACCCAUCAUCAUCCCCACACUCCAUCAUCCGUCAUCAAUCCCACAUUCCAUCAUCAUCCCCACACUCCAUCACCCAUCACAUCCCCACACUCCUCUAUCACCCGUCAUCAACCCCACACUCCAUACCCAUCAUCAUCCCCACACUCCAUACCCAUCAUCAUCCCCACACUCCAUCAUCAACCCCACGCCCCGUCGUCAACCCCACACUCCAUCACCCGUCAUCAUCCCCACACUCCAUCAUCAUCCCCACACUCCAUCACCCAUCAUCAUCCCCACACUCCAUCACCAUCCCCACACUCCAUCACCAUCCCCACACUCCAUCACCCAUCAUCAUCCCCACACUCCAUCACCCGUCAUCAUCCCCACACUCCAUCAUCAUCCCCACACUCCAUCACCCAUCAUCAUCCCCACACUCCAUCACCAUCCCCACACUCCAUCACCAUCCCCACACUCCAUCACCCAUCAUCAUCCCCACACUCCAUCACCCGUCAUCAUCCCCACACUCCAUCACCCAUCAUCAUCCCCACACUCCAUCACCCAUCAUCAUCCCCACACUCCAUCACCCGUCAUCAUCCCCACACUCCAUCACCCAUCAUCAUCCCCACACUCCAUCACCCGUCGUCAACCCCACACUCCGUCACCUGUCACCAACCCCACACUCCAUCACCCAUCAUCAACCCCACACACGCCCCGUCAUCAACACAGCAGCACAGCGUUUCCUCCAGGAGAAACACCAAGAUCUCACGUCCCAUCCACAGGCUGAGGCUGCUGCUCCUGCAGG
RNAcentral lists this long non-coding RNA (999 nucleotides) under Homo sapiens (human). RNAcentral's name for it is "non-protein coding lnc-PDCD1-6:2". Lineage: Eukaryota; Metazoa; Chordata; Mammalia; Primates; Hominidae. The record is from RNAcentral.